UAGCCGUAAACGAUACUCGCUAGGUGUCGGCCACGGUGCGACCGUUGUCGGUGCCGUAGGGAAGCCGUGAAGCGAGCCACCUGGGAAGUACGGCCGCAAGGCUGAAACUUAAAGGAAUUGGCGGGGGAGCACAACAACGGGUGGAGCUUGCGGUUUAAUUGGACUCAACGCCGGGAAGCUCACCGGAUAGGACAGCGGAAUGAUUGCCGGGCUGAAGACCCUGCAUGACCAGCUGAGAGGUGGUGCAUGGCGUAGUCGUGU
This 261-nucleotide ribosomal RNA is filed under the name uncultured archaeon. Its description in RNAcentral is "partial 16S ribosomal RNA". It matches the Rfam family "Archaeal small subunit ribosomal RNA", at positions 748 to 1009 of the family's 1478-position model. The record is from RNAcentral.